GAUGAACGCUGGCGGCGUGCCUAAUACAUGCAAGUCGAGCGAACAGAUGCGGAGCUUGCUCCUCUGACGUUAGCGGCGGACGGGUGAGUAACACGUGGAUAACCUACCUAUAAGACUGGGAUAACUUCGGGAAACCGGAGCUAAUCCCGGAUAAUAUAUUGAACCGCAUGGUUCAAUAGUGAAAGACGGCUUUGCUGUCUCUUCUAGAUGGAUCCCCGCCGCAUUAGCUAGUUGGUAAGGUAACGGCUUACCAAGGCAACGAUGCGUAGCCGACCUGAGAGGGUGAUCGGCCACACUGGAACGUAGACACGGUCCAGACUCCUACGGUAGGCAGCAGUAGGGAAUGUUCCGCAAUGGGCGAAAGCCUGACGGAGCAACGCCGCGUGAGUGAUGAAGGUCUUCGGAUCGUAAAACUCUGUUAUUAGGUAAGAACAAAUGUGUAAGUAAAUAUGCACGUCGUGACGGUACCUAAUCAGAAAGCCACGGCUAACUACGUG
Molecule: ribosomal RNA, 497 nt
Filed under: uncultured bacterium
Lineage: Bacteria
Description: partial 16S ribosomal RNA
Rfam family: Bacterial small subunit ribosomal RNA
Source: RNAcentral